This 291-nucleotide long non-coding RNA is filed under the name Ananas comosus (pineapple). RNAcentral's name for it is "long non-coding RNA (ACOM_LNC011991)". The record is from RNAcentral. Lineage: Eukaryota; Viridiplantae; Streptophyta; Magnoliopsida; Poales; Bromeliaceae.
UGAUCUUAAUUGUAACAUACUACAUUUUGGUAUAAAAAUAAAAAUAAAUAAAAAUAGUGUGAGAAACUAUUUUUAUUAGAUUUAUAGAAGUAAAAUAUAAGUCAGAAGUGACUUGUGCUGAAAUCGGAAUGAAAAUAGAAUAUCUAGAAUUUUCUGUUCGAAACGGGACAGAUAAAUUAGCAGAAAAUGCACAGUUUCAGAAAAUUAUGAAAAUUGGAGGAUAAGUCAGAAAUAUUUUUAUGAUGCUAGAUUUAAUGUUUCAUAUUUUUCUGACACCCGUAGAGUGAGAAA